Molecule: ribosomal RNA, 404 nt
Filed under: Caulobacter vibrioides
Lineage: Bacteria; Pseudomonadati; Pseudomonadota; Alphaproteobacteria; Caulobacterales; Caulobacteraceae
Also listed under: 1 other name
Description: partial 16S ribosomal RNA
Rfam family: Bacterial small subunit ribosomal RNA
Source: RNAcentral
UGGGGAAUAUUGGACAAUGGGCGCAAGCCUGAUCCAGCCAUGCCGCGUGAGUGAUGAAGGCCCUAGGGUUGUAAAGCUCUUUCACCGGUGAAGAUAAUGACGGUAACCGGAGAAGAAGCCCCGGCUAACUUCGUGCCAGCAGCCGCGGUAAUACGAAGGGGGCUAGCGUUGUUCGGAAUUACUGGGCGUAAAGCGCACGUAGGCGGAUAUUUAAGUCAGGGGUGAAAUCCCAGAGCUCAACUCUGGAACUGCCUUUGAUACUGGGUAUCUCGAGUAUGGAAGAGGUGAGUGGAAUUCCGAGUGUAGAGGUGAAAUUCGUAGAUAUUCGGAGGAACACCAGUGGCGAAGGCGGCUCACUGGUCCAUUACUGACGCUGAGGUGCGAAAGCGUGGGGAGCAAACAGG